This 424-nucleotide ribosomal RNA is filed under the name uncultured prokaryote. RNAcentral's name for it is "bacterial SSU rRNA". It matches the Rfam family "Bacterial small subunit ribosomal RNA", at positions 355 to 796 of the family's 1533-position model. The record is from RNAcentral.
UGGGGAAUAUUGGACAAUGGGCGAAAGCCUGAUCCAGCAAUGCCGCGUGAGUGAUGAAGGCCUUAGGGUUGUAAAGCUCUUUUACCAGGGAUGAUAAUGACAGUACCUGGAGAAUAAGCUCCGGCUAACUCCGUGCCAGCAGCCGCGGUAAUACGGAGGGAGCUAGCGUUGUUCGGAAUUACUGGGCGUAAAGCGCGCGUAGGCGGUUUUUUAAGUCAGGGGUGAAAUCCCGGAGCUCAACUCCGGAACUGCCCUUGAAACUGGAUGACUAGAAUCCUGGAGAGGCGAGUGGAAUUCCGAGUGUAGAGGUGAAAUUCGUAGAUAUUCGGAAGAACACCAGUGGCGAAGGCGACUCGCUGGACAGGUAUUGACGCUGAGGUGCGAAAGCGUGGGGAGCAAACAGGAUUAGAUACCCCCGUAGUCC